RNAcentral lists this ribosomal RNA (744 nucleotides) under Triticum aestivum (bread wheat). RNAcentral's name for it is "partial small subunit ribosomal RNA". The record is from RNAcentral. Lineage: Eukaryota; Viridiplantae; Streptophyta; Magnoliopsida; Poales; Poaceae.
AUGACUGGGGAGGUGAACAACUACUAUUUGCUUCCCGAAGAACCCGUCCCCUUGCGCACCUUGCAUCACAAGGAUAGCAUCGCCAAGGUGAUGUUUCUCAUUGCCGUGGCUAAACCAAGAUACUGCGAAGGUGGUGAGGUCACGUUUGAUGGAAAGCUCGGCAUCUGGGCUUUUGUCACAGAGUCUCCUGCUCAAAGAACGAGUGAAAAUAGAGAUAAAGGGACGCUCAAGCUCAAAUCAUUGAAAGUCACACGAGAUGUAAUGAGGUAUUACAUGUGUGAGAAACUUAUUCCUGCGAUCCAAGAGCGCUGGCCAGGCGGAGAUGGAGGACAGACAAUCUAUAUCCAACAAGAUAAUGCCACACCACAUAUUCUUCCCGAUGACCCGGUUAUCCGACAAGUCAUAGAACAGACUGAUUUGGAUAUUAAGUUGCUUCAACAUCCUCCAAACAGUCCCGACAUGAAUAUUCUUGAUCUCUGCAUAUUCAGGUCUCUCCAGUCCCACACCGAUAGCAGAGCACCUCAAAGCAUCAGGGAACUAAUAGAAGGUGUGGAGGAGGAAUAUCGAAACUACCCGGUUGAUAAGCUAGCUAGAAGCUUCGUGACGCUGCAGUCAUGCAUCCGAGAGGUAAUGAGAAAGAAAGGAGCGAUAGACUACUCGAUCCCUCACAUGAGCAAGGAACACCGGCAGGUAGAAGGACGGCUUCCUAUAGCUCUACCUAUCGAUUGUGAGCUAGUUGAAUAG